RNAcentral lists this ribosomal RNA (572 nucleotides) under Myxozyma lipomycoides. Its description in RNAcentral is "eukaryotic LSU rRNA". It matches the Rfam family "Eukaryotic large subunit ribosomal RNA", at positions 62 to 648 of the family's 3401-position model. Lineage: Eukaryota; Fungi; Ascomycota; Lipomycetes; Lipomycetales; Lipomycetaceae. The record is from RNAcentral.
AAACCAACAGGGAUUGCCUUAGUAACUGCGAGUGAAGCGGCAAGAGCUCAAAUUUGAAAUCUGGCACCUUUGGUGUCCGAGUUGUAAUUUGUAGAAGCAGCUUUUGAAUUGGUCCUUGCAUAUGUUCCUUGGAACAGGACAUCAUAGAGGGUGAGAAUCCCGUUCAUGGUGGGGAAUUUCAAUUCUUUGUAAAGCGCUUUCGAAGAGUCGAGUUGUUUGGGAAUGCAGCUCUAAGCGGGUGGUAAAUUCCAUCUAAAGCUAAAUAUUGGCGAGAGACCGAUAGCGAACAAGUACAGUGAUGGAAAGAUGAAAAGUACUCCGAAAGGAGAGUGAAAAAGGACGUGAAAUUGUUGAAAGGGAAGUGCUUGAGAUCAGUCUUAAGAUUUAACGAUCAAUCUUCCUUUUUUGGUUGAUGCACUCGUUUUUUCUUAGGCCAGCAUCAGUUUUUGUGGCAGGAUAAUGACAUUGGAAUGUGGCUCUUUCGGGAGUGUUAUAGACUUUGUUGAUACUGCUUGCUUAGACUGAGGACCGCGCUUUUUUGCUAGGAUGCUGGCAUAAUGAUCUUAAUCAGC